GGGUGCGUAACGCGUAUGCAACCUACCCGAUACAGGGGGAUAAUAAUCUGAAAAGGUUUCUAAUACCCCAUAGUUAUGUAAUUCGGCAUCGGAUUAGAUUUAAAGUUUUGAUGGUAUCGGAUGGGCAUGCGUAACAUCAGCUAGUUGGAGAGGUAACGGCUCACCAAGGCGAUGAUGUUUAGGGGUCUUGAGAGGGAGGUCCCCCACACUGGAACUGAGAACGGUCCAGACUCCUACGGGAGGCAGCAGUGAGGAAUAUUGGUCAAUGGACGGAAGUCUGAACCAGCCAUGCCGCGUGAAGGAAGACGGUCUUAUGGAUUGUAAACUUCUUUUCUAUCGGAGUAAUAAUAGGUUUGCGAACUUGUUUGCAAGUACGAUAGGAAUAAGCAUCGGCUAACUCCGUGCCAGCAGCCGCGGUAAUACGGGGGAUGCGAGCGUUAUCCGGAAUUAUUGGGUUUAAAGGGUGCGUAGGCUGUAUAGUAAGUCAGAGGUGAAAGGUUACGGCUCAACUGUGACAUUGCCUUUGAUACUGUUAUGCUAGAAUAUGGAGGCGGCAGGCGGAAUGAGUCAAGUAGCGGUGACAUGCGUAGAUAUGACUCAGAACACCGAUUGCGAAGGCA
This 620-nucleotide ribosomal RNA is filed under the name uncultured bacterium. RNAcentral describes it as "bacterial SSU rRNA". It matches the Rfam family "Bacterial small subunit ribosomal RNA", at positions 104 to 723 of the family's 1533-position model. The record is from RNAcentral.